This 1461-nucleotide ribosomal RNA is filed under the name uncultured organism. Its description in RNAcentral is "16S ribosomal RNA". It matches the Rfam family "Bacterial small subunit ribosomal RNA". The record is from RNAcentral.
CUGGCGGCAGGCCUAACACAUGCAAGUCGAACGGUAACAGGAAGAAGCUUGCUUCUUUGCUGACGAGUGGCGGACGGGUGAGUAAUGUCUGGGAAACUGCCUGAUGGAGGGGGAUAACUACUGGAAACGGUAGCUAAUACCGCAUAACGUCGCAAGACCAAAGAGGGGGACCUUCGGGCCUCUUGCCAUCGGAUGUGCCCAGAUGGGAUUAGCUUGUUGGUGGGGUAACGGCUCACCAAGGCGACGAUCCCUAGCUGGUCUGAGAGGAUGACCAGCCACACUGGAACUGAGACACGGUCCAGACUCCUACGGGAGGCAGCAGUGGGGAAUAUUGCACAAUGGGCGCAAGCCUGAUGCAGCCAUGCCGCGUGUAUGAAGAAGGCCUUCGGGUUGUAAAGUACUUUCAGCGGGGAGGAAGGGAGUAAAGUUAAUACCUUUGCUCAUUGACGUUACCCGCAGAAGAAGCACCGGCUAACUCCGUGCCAGCAGCCGCGGUAAUACAGAGGGUGCAAGCGUUAAUCGGAAUUACUGGGCGUAAAGCGCACGCAGGCGGUUUGUUAAGUCAGAUGUGAAAUCCCCGGGCUCAACCUGGGAACUGCAUCUGAUACUGGCAAGCUUGAGUCUCGUAGAGGGGGGUAGAAUUCCAGGUGUAGCGGUGAAAUGCGUAGAGAUCUGGAGGAAUACCGGUGGCGAAGGCGGCCCCCUGGACGAAGACUGACGCUCAGGUGCGAAAGCGUGGGGAGCAAACAGGAUUAGAUACCCUGGUAGUCCACGCCGUAAACGAUGUCGACUUGGAGGUUGUGCCCUUGAGGCGUGGCUUCCGGAGCUAACGCGUUAAGUCGACCGCCUGGGGAGUACGGCCGCAAGGUUAAAACUCAAAUGAAUUGACGGGGGCCCGCACAAGCGGUGGAGCAUGUGGUUUAAUUCGAUGCAACGCGAAGAACCUUACCUGGUCUUGACAUCCACAGAACCUUGUAGAGAUACGAGGGUGCCUUCGGGAACUGUGAGACAGGUGCUGCAUGGCUGUCGUCAGCUCGUGUUGUGAAAUGUUGGGUUAAGUCCCGCAACGAGCGCAACCCUUAUCCUUUGUUGCCAGCGGUCCGGCCGGGAACUCAAAGGAGACUGCCAGUGAUAAACUGGAGGAAGGUGGGGAUGACGUCAAGUCAUCAUGGCCCUUACGACCAGGGCUACACACGUGCUACAAUGGCGCAUACAAAGAGAAGCGACCUCGCGAGAGCAAGCGGACCUCAUAAAGUGCGUCGUAGUCCGGAUUGGAGUCUGCAACUCGACUCCAUGAAGUCGGAAUCGCUAGUAAUCGUGGAUCAGAAUGCCACGGUGAAUACGUUCCCGGGCCUUGUACACACCGCCCGUCACACCAUGGGAGUGGGUUGCAAAAGAAGUAGGUAGCUUAACCUUCGGGAGGGCGCUUACCACUUUGUGAUUCAUGACUGGGGUGAAGUC